UACGACUACAUAUCAGGCAUAUCAAUAAGCGGAGGAAAAGAAACUAACAAGGAUUCCCUUAGUAACGGCGAGUGAAGCGGGAAGAGCUCAAAUUUGAAAUCUUCAAGGUUCUACCUUGACGAAUUGUAGUUUAAAGAAGUGUUUUCUGCUAGAGUGAGUAGCAAAAGUUCCUUGGAAUGGGACAUCAUAGAGGGUGAGAAUCCCGUAUUUGGUUAUUCAUUCUAGCUUUGUGAUACACUUUCAAAGAGUCGGAUUGUUUGGGAAUGCAGUCCAAAAUGGGUGGUAAAUUUCAUCUAAAGCUAAAUAUUGGCGAGAGACCGAUAGCGAACAAGUACCGUGAGGGAAAGAUGAAAAGAACUUUGAAAAGAGAGUUAAACAGUACGUGAAAUUGUCAAAAGGGAAGCGUUUGACACCAGUGUUGUUUUUCCGAAAAUCAAUUACGAAUGGCUUGAUUCUUGUGUUGUAUUGACCUUAUCAGCUUUCUGCACUUUUUUCGAGUCUUUCUUAAUGCACUUUUCGUUUAACAAGUCAACAUCAAUUUCUUUUGUUGUAAAGGAGUCAUUCGGAAGGUGGCUUUCACUUUCGGAUGAAAGUGUUUAUAGCCCUAUAGCUUCUAGCAAUCGGAGAGAUUGAGGUCUGCAGCGUAGAUCCUUCGGGGUUAGAUACACUUUGUGCUAAGUUGUAGCUUUUCAUAGACAACUUGUUGACUAUGUUUAGUCAUGCGGCUUACUCGCUUAUGCUAUUUUACCUACGCUUAGGAUGUUGAGUAGCGACAUACGCAC
This 782-nucleotide ribosomal RNA is filed under the name uncultured Neocallimastigales. RNAcentral describes it as "partial large subunit ribosomal RNA". It matches the Rfam family "Eukaryotic large subunit ribosomal RNA", at positions 24 to 649 of the family's 3401-position model. The record is from RNAcentral. Lineage: Eukaryota; Fungi; Neocallimastigomycota; Neocallimastigomycetes; Neocallimastigales.